GACGAACGCUGGCGGCGUGCUUAACGCAUGCAAGUCGAACGGUAAGGCCCUUCGGGGUACACGAGUGGCGAACGGGUGAGUAACACGUGGGUGAUCUGCCCUGCACUUCGGGAUAAGCCUGGGAAACUGGGUCUAAUACCGGAUAGGACCACUGCCUGCAUGGGUGGUGGUGGAAGGCUUUUGCGGUGUGGGAUGGGCCCGCGGCCUAUCAGCUUGUUGGUGGGGUGAUGGCCUACCAAGGCGACGACGGGUAGCCGGCCUGAGAGGGUGACCGGCCACACUGGGACUGAGAUACGGCCCAGACUCCUACGGGAGGCAGCAGUGGGGAAUAUUGCACAAUGGGCGCAAGCCUGAUGCAGCGACGCCGCGUGAGGGAUGACGGCCUUCGGGUUGUAAACCUCUUUCAGCACCGACGAAGCGCAAGUGACGGUAGGUGCAGAAGAAGGACCGGCCAACUACGUGCCAGCCGCCGCAGUAA
This 478-nucleotide ribosomal RNA is filed under the name uncultured bacterium. RNAcentral describes it as "partial 16S ribosomal RNA". It matches the Rfam family "Bacterial small subunit ribosomal RNA", at positions 28 to 523 of the family's 1533-position model. The record is from RNAcentral.